RNAcentral lists this ribosomal RNA (495 nucleotides) under uncultured bacterium. RNAcentral describes it as "partial 16S ribosomal RNA". It matches the Rfam family "Bacterial small subunit ribosomal RNA", at positions 28 to 507 of the family's 1533-position model. The record is from RNAcentral.
GACGAACGCUGGCGGCGUGCCUAAUACAUGCAAGUAGAACGCUGAAGGAGGAGCUUGCUUCUCUGGAUGAGUUGCGAACGGGUGAGUAACGCGUAGGUAACCUGCCUGGUAGCGGGGGAUAACUAUUGGAAACGAUAGCUAAUACCGCAUAAUAGCAGUUGUUGCAUGAUAACUGUUUGAAAGGUGCAAUUGCACCACUACCAGAUGGACCUGCAUUGUAUUAGCUAGUUGGUGGGGUAACGGCUCACCAAGGCGACGAUACAUAGCCGACCUGAGAGGGUGAUCGGCCACACUGGGACUGAGACACGGCCCAGACUCCUACGGGAGGCAGCAGUAGGGAAUCUUCGGCAAUGGACGGAAGUCUGACCGAGCAACGCCGCGUGAGUGAAGAAGGUUUUCGGAUCGUAAAGCUCUGUUGUAAGAGAAGAACGAGUGUGAGAGUGGAAAGUUCACACUGUGACGGUAUCUUACCAGAAAGGGACGGCUAACUACGUG